CUACGGGGUGCAGCAGUGGGGAAUCUUAGACAAUGGGGGCAACCCUGAUCUAGCCAUGCCGCGUGAGUGAUGAAGGCCUUAGGGUCGUAAAGCUCUUUCGCCUGUGAUGAUAAUGACAGUAGCAGGUAAAGAAACCCCGGCUAACUCCGUGCCAGCAGCCGCGGUAAUACGGAGGGGGUUAGCGUUGUUCGGAAUUACUGGGCGUAAAGCGCGCGUAGGCGGAUUAGAAAGUUGGGGGUGAAAUCCCGGGGCUCAACCUCGGAACUGCCUCCAAAACUGCUAGUCUAGAGUUCGAGAGAGGUGAGUGGAAUUCCGAGUGUAGAGGUGAAAUUCGUAGAUAUUCGGAGGAACACCAGUGGCGAAGGCGGCUCACUGGCUCGAUACUGACGCUGAGGUGCGAAAGUGUGGGGAGCAAACAGGAUUAGAUACCCUAGUAGUC
RNAcentral lists this ribosomal RNA (439 nucleotides) under uncultured bacterium. RNAcentral's name for it is "partial 16S ribosomal RNA". It matches the Rfam family "Bacterial small subunit ribosomal RNA", at positions 339 to 795 of the family's 1533-position model. The record is from RNAcentral.